RNAcentral lists this ribosomal RNA (253 nucleotides) under uncultured bacterium. Its description in RNAcentral is "partial 16S ribosomal RNA". It matches the Rfam family "Bacterial small subunit ribosomal RNA", at positions 524 to 776 of the family's 1533-position model. The record is from RNAcentral.
UACGUAGGUGGCGAGCGUUGUCCGGAUUUACUGGGCGUAAAGGGAGCGUAGGCGGACUUUUAAGUGAGAUGUGAAAUACUCGGGCUCAACUUGAGUGCUGCAUUUCAAACUGGAAGUCUAGAGUGCAGGAGAGGAGAAUGGAAUUCCUAGUGUAGCGGUGAAAUGCGUAGAGAUUAGGAAGAACACCAGUGGCGAAGGCGAUUCUCUGGACUGUGACUGACGCUGAGGCACGAAAGCGUGGGGAGCAAACAGG